AUGGCAGAAUGCCAUGCAUUAAGGGUGAUGGAAAAUAGCUGGUGGCAGUGGGGGACAGAAGAUGUCUGGAGGAGGUGGCUCAGGCUUUUGUCGCAGUGUGAAGAGAGAUGUGACCUGCAGCAAGCUCUGUCCAUUGCCAGAGGCAUGGUGCUUUGUCCAUCCUGGAUGAGUUUUCCUGGCCUAUCUUCCCAGCUGCCAGAAUGGCUGUACUGGAGAGGUGAAGACUGCACUAUUAGGGAGGGGGAGGGAGAGGUGUUGUUCUGAUGGGAUGGGACUGCAUGUCCUGGGGCUGGUGGCGUGCCAGCAACAGCAGGUGUCCUUUGCUGUCCACUAUCCUCCACCUGUUACCCUAAAGAGAAUUUCUCUGGGCACUCUCCUCUCCUCCCUGCGCUGAUAGUUGAGCUAUUUAUUUGAGUUGUAAUUGAAACAGGCAUGUUGGGGAUUUUAAGCCCCUGCCCAUUUCAGGGGUAAGGACAGUGAGACGCCUUUGCUACCUUCUCUUCCUUUGCUCCCCUGAUAACAUGCUAAGAGCUUCAAUGACAGAGGAUGUUUCUGAUAGCUCAGGCUGAGUUUGGUUUUGUUUUAUUUUGGCUGAGUAGCAGCUAAAGUUUUCCCUUUCCACUACUGAGCAGUUGAGCCUCCUCCUGAAAUCACAACUGCAAUCCAUUUUCUCUGUUAAAGCAGCAAUGAUGCAAUAGUGCACAGCAUAGCACAGAGCAGUGCCUAGGAGGCAACACUCACAAUUUCUUCUGUUUGCCAAGUUUCUUCUGUUUGCCAAGUCAUACUGGGAGUUGUAACUUAAGGCUAAAAACCCUCCACAGGGUGUGGAAGGCCUGUCUGUGUGUCAAGCAUCUUUGCGUCUCCUUUUAGAUGGCACUGAAUAGUAGAAGGCUAUUUUCCUUUUCUAGCAUUAGGGGGAGCACAGCUGUUAAGAGAAAGAUACUACAUGGUAAAAAAAAAAAAAAAAGAAAAAGAAAAAAGAUACAAACUAGAAAAAAGUUCUGAACCUUAUGAGUCCAUUUAAACCCUGUCCUUACACAAUGGUCUGUUUAUAAUCCCUGUGCCACCAGUAACAAAGUGUCUGCAGGCACCCAGGACUGUAGGACCUUGCUACCAGAGAUGUCAGGCAAAGAGGAGGAAUAGAAAUGGACAGCCUGCUAAUUUUUCAGUCCCCUAGAAAGAAGCAAAUAAAACUGAGUGACAUUAACA
This 1209-nucleotide long non-coding RNA is filed under the name Manacus vitellinus (golden-collared manakin). Its description in RNAcentral is "lncRNA (ENSMVIG00005000714.1)". The record is from RNAcentral. Lineage: Eukaryota; Metazoa; Chordata; Aves; Passeriformes; Pipridae.